UACGGAGGGUGCAAGCGUUAUCCGGAUUCACUGGGUUUAAAGGGUGCGUAGGUGGGUAUGUAGGUCAGUGGUGAAAUCCCCGAGCUUAACUUGGGAACUGCCGUUGAUACUAUAUAUCUUGAAUAUCGCGUAGGUAAGCGGAAUAUGUCAUGUAGCGGUGAAAUGCUUAGAUAUGACAUAGAACACCAAUUGCGAAGGCAGCUUACUUCACGAUUAUUGACACUGAGGCACGAAAGCGUGGGGAGCAAACAGG
RNAcentral lists this ribosomal RNA (253 nucleotides) under uncultured bacterium. RNAcentral's name for it is "partial 16S ribosomal RNA". It matches the Rfam family "Bacterial small subunit ribosomal RNA", at positions 524 to 776 of the family's 1533-position model. The record is from RNAcentral.